Molecule: ribosomal RNA, 744 nt
Filed under: Staphylococcus aureus
Lineage: Bacteria; Bacillati; Bacillota; Bacilli; Caryophanales; Staphylococcaceae
Description: partial 23S ribosomal RNA
Rfam family: Bacterial large subunit ribosomal RNA
Source: RNAcentral
GUAGCGGCGAGCGAAACGGGAAGAGCCCAAACCAACAAGCUUGCUUGUUGGGGUUGUAGGACACUCUAUACGGAGUUACAAAGGACGACAUUAGACGAAUCAUCUGGAAAGAUGAAUCAAAGAAGGUAAUAAUCCUGUAGUCGAAAAUGUUGUCUCUCUUGAGUGGAUCCUGAGUACGACGGAGCACGUGAAAUUCCGUCGGAAUCUGGGAGGACCAUCUCCUAAGGCUAAAUACUCUCUAGUGACCGAUAGUGAACCAGUACCGUGAGGGAAAGGUGAAAAGCACCCCGGAAGGGGAGUGAAAUAGAACCUGAAACCGUGUGCUUACAAGUAGUCAGAGCCCGUUAAUGGGUGAUGGCGUGCCUUUUGUAGAAUGAACCGGCGAGUUACGAUUUGAUGCAAGGUUAAGCAGUAAAUGUGGAGCCGUAGCGAAAGCGAGUCUGAAUAGGGCGUUUAGUAUUUGGUCGUAGACCCGAAACCAGGUGAUCUACCCUUGGUCAGGUUGAAGUUCAGGUAACACUGAAUGGAGGACCGAACCGACUUACGUUGAAAAGUGAGCGGAUGAACUGAGGGUAGCGGAGAAAUUCCAAUCGAACCUGGAGAUAGCUGGUUCUCUCCGAAAUAGCUUUAGGGCUAGCCUCAAGUGAUGAUUAUUGGAGGUAGAGCACUGUUUGGACGAGGGGCCCCUCUCGGGUUACCGAAUUCAGACAAACUCCGAAUGCCAAUUAAUUUAACUUGGGAGUC